CAAUAGCGUAUAUUAAAGUUGUUGCAGUUAAAAAGCUCGUAGUUGGAUUUCUGGUUGAAGCGACCGGUCGGGCGUUGAUUCGUCUGCACUGGAGUCGGUUUUGGCCAUCCUCUAGGAAAGUGCGUCUGGUAUUAAGUUAUCGGGCGUAUGAUCCUGGUCUUUUACUGUGAAAAAAUUAGAGUGUUUAAAGCAGGCCUUGCCUUGAAUACAUUAGCAUGGAAUAAUAAGAUAGGACUUUGGUCUAUUUUGUUGGUUUGCAGACCGAAGUAAUGAUUAAUAGGGAUAGUUGGGGGUAUUUAUAUUCCGAUGUCAGAGGUGAAAUUCUUAGAUUUUCGGAAGAUAAACUUAUGCGAAAGCAUUUACCAAGGAUGUUUNCAUUAA
Molecule: ribosomal RNA, 381 nt
Filed under: uncultured eukaryote
Lineage: Eukaryota
Description: partial 18S ribosomal RNA
Rfam family: Eukaryotic small subunit ribosomal RNA
Source: RNAcentral